RNAcentral lists this ribosomal RNA (804 nucleotides) under Arthrobacter sp. 17-2pA. RNAcentral describes it as "bacterial SSU rRNA". It matches the Rfam family "Bacterial small subunit ribosomal RNA", at positions 83 to 900 of the family's 1533-position model. The record is from RNAcentral. Lineage: Bacteria; Bacillati; Actinomycetota; Actinomycetes; Micrococcales; Micrococcaceae.
CUGGGGGGAUUAGUGGCGAACGGGUGAGUAACACGUGAGUAACCUGCCCUUGACUCUGGGAUAAGCCUGGGAAACUGGGUCUAAUACCGGAUAUGACCAUUCCGCGCAUGCGGUGGUGGUGGAAAGCUUUUGCGGUUUUGGAUGGACUCGCGGCCUAUCAGCUUGUUGGUGGGGUAAUGGCCUACCAAGGCGACGACGGGUAGCCGGCCUGAGAGGGUGACCGGCCACACUGGGACUGAGACACGGCCCAGACUCCUACGGGAGGCAGCAGUGGGGAAUAUUGCACAAUGGGCGAAAGCCUGAUGCAGCGACGCCGCGUGAGGGAUGACGGCCUUCGGGUUGUAAACCUCUUUCAGUAGGGAAGAAGCGAAAGUGACGGUACCUGCAGAAGAAGCGCCGGCUAACUACGUGCCAGCAGCCGCGGUAAUACGUAGGGCGCAAGCGUUAUCCGGAAUUAUUGGGCGUAAAGAGCUCGUAGGCGGUUUGUCGCGUCUGCUGUGAAAGACCGGGGCUCAACUCCGGUUCUGCAGUGGGUACGGGCAGACUAGAGUGAUGUAGGGGAGACUGGAAUUCCUGGUGUAGCGGUGAAAUGCGCAGAUAUCAGGAGGAACACCGAUGGCGAAGGCAGGUCUCUGGGCAUUAACUGACGCUGAGGAGCGAAAGCAUGGGGAGCGAACAGGAUUAGAUACCCUGGUAGUCCAUGCCGUAAACGUUGGGCACUAGGUGUGGGGGACAUUCCACGUUUUCCGCGCCGUAGCUAACGCAUUAAGUGCCCCGCCUGGGGAGUACGGCCGCAAGGUAAAC